UGGGUAACCUGCCUCAAAGAGGGGAAUAGCCCCCCGAAAGGGAGAUUAAUACCGCAUAAUAUGUUUAAGUCGCAUGACUUUAACAUCAAAAGGAUUUUUCUUUUAGAAAUUUCCACUUUGAGAUGGACCCGCGGCGCAUUAGCUAGUUGGUGAGGUAACGGCUCACCAAGGCAACGAUGCGUAGCCGACCUGAGAGGGUGAUCGGCCACAUUGGAACUGAGACACGGUCCAGACUCCUACGGGAGCAG
RNAcentral lists this ribosomal RNA (248 nucleotides) under uncultured bacterium. Its description in RNAcentral is "partial 16S ribosomal RNA". It matches the Rfam family "Bacterial small subunit ribosomal RNA", at positions 118 to 347 of the family's 1533-position model. The record is from RNAcentral.